This 453-nucleotide non-coding RNA is filed under the name uncultured Prevotella sp. Lineage: Bacteria; Pseudomonadati; Bacteroidota; Bacteroidia; Bacteroidales; Prevotellaceae. The record is from RNAcentral.
UCGUCCAGCAGGUCGGCCUCGCCAAAGAAUUCGCCGUCACCCAGCAGGGCAAUACGCAGUUCCUCGCCGUGAGGACCCUUGCUGAUGACCUCAGCCUGUCCGCUGGCUAUGAUGAAGAACUUCUGCUUGUCUUUACCUUCUUCCACAAAGAGUUUGCCCAAUUCCACCUCAACGGUCUCGAAGCUACGUGCCAGACGGUUCACGAUCUCGUCGUCGAACUCUGAGAACAGAGGAAUGGCCUUCAGGCUUUUUGCCGAGAACGACGGUACACCGUCAAGAUAUUGAAUAGGCAGUCGCUCGCUCUUGCGUAGCUCAACCUUUGUGCGGUUCACGCGGAAGGUACCGCCUGACACCUGUACCCAGGGCAACAGUUUCAGGAGGAGUCUCGGUGUGAUACUGCCCAUCUGCGGGGCGGUCUUGGUGGUGGUCGCCAGUCUUCUGGCGGUAGCAGUG